This 198-nucleotide ribosomal RNA is filed under the name Triticum aestivum (bread wheat). Its description in RNAcentral is "partial small subunit ribosomal RNA". The record is from RNAcentral. Lineage: Eukaryota; Viridiplantae; Streptophyta; Magnoliopsida; Poales; Poaceae.
AUGAAUUACCAGCCACUUAUCUCCGCGCUUGAUGUCCGCACCGAGCCCAUCACGGUCGAUCUCCUUUUCUCUCUAGUGGCCAAUUUUGAUCAACGGGUCGAACUAUACCACGGCAACAACGGAGACGGGUUCAAAUCCUCAGCGAACUCUGCUUCCCGAGGCAGGCGGGGAGGCAGAGGUGGCUAUUGCAACCAGAAG